RNAcentral lists this ribosomal RNA (303 nucleotides) under uncultured bacterium. RNAcentral describes it as "partial 16S ribosomal RNA". It matches the Rfam family "Bacterial small subunit ribosomal RNA", at positions 507 to 808 of the family's 1533-position model. The record is from RNAcentral.
AGCAGUCGCCGCGGUAAUACGUAGGUGGCAAGCGUUGUCCGGAAUUAUUGGGCGUAAAGCGCGCGCAGGUGGUUAAUAAGUCCGAUGUGAAAGCCCACGGCUCAACCGUGGAGGGUCAUUGGAAACUGUUAAACUUGAGUGCAGGAGAGAAAAGUGGAAUUCCUAGUGUAGCGGUGAAAUGCGUAGAGAUUAGGAGGAACACCAGUGGCGAAGGCGGCUUUUUGGCCUGUAACUGACACUGAGGCGCGAAAGCGUGGGGAGCAAACAGGAUUAGAUACCCCAGUAGUCCCUGUCUCUUAUACA